UAAAUUAAAUUAGUUUCUUACAAAAUGUGUCGGACAUUUUGAAUCUUUCAUUAUGAUUAAAAAUUAGAGUUUCUUAUUAAUCUUAAAUUAUGUAAUAAAGGUUUAGAAAAAAUAAAAGAAAUUUGUUUUUAGUGUUAUAUUGUGGCUAAUGAAGGAGUUAAAAAGUCCUUCCAGUCAGUUGCAACAACAAUUAAAGCAGCAGGAAACAGCCAAGUACACAUGCAAGUGAUUGUUAUGAGGAUUGCAAAACUUUUAAAUAUCAGAAACUGAAGAAAGCAUUCAUAAUCAGCAGAUAUCAAAAAAGCGCAAAAGUACUGAUUUUACAACUCUUUUAAAGUUGAGGAAGAAUUUUAUGUUAAUGUUAAUGCAAAAGGUACGAAUAUUGACAGGUUAGCUAAUUUGAUGUAACAAUAAACAUGAAAUAAAGUUUGUGAAGACCUUAGUGCCAAAAAUACUUGCAUGCAUUAUUCAUGCAUGCUGUAUUAUAAUAUAGCAAGCAUGCAUGAUGCAUUUAAGUAUAAAAAAAAGUUACAAAUGUUUAAUUAUACAAAAAGAUUAUGGAUGUGGUACUGCAAGUAUAUUCAAUUGAUUAUGCAAGUAAGUUGUCCUACUUUACAUCUUUGAAGACUAAUAAUAAUUGUAAUGAACAUAUCUCAGACAAUAUACACUCGGAUUUAUAUUUUAGUUAAACCAUCACCACUUCCACAGCCACCUUGUCUCAAGCAUUAAAUCGCAUUCUAAGAUAUCUUUAUUCAAAUUAAGUGUGACUACUUUACCAAAAGACUCUAGAAUGGACCAAUCAAAUUUGAAUUGGGUGUUGUUGAAAAAAAGUGCUUGUUUUCAGGCAAAAGGUGAUCAACCAGCAGUUGUUUCUGUAAAUAUAUCAGGCUGGUUAGUUGCAGCUAAGCUUGUACAUGUUAGUGACAAUUUGAAAUGUAACCCGUCACUCCCGGGAGCAAAUUUGGCUGCGUUAACGGCGAUUUAUUUAAUGUCUUUGUUUGCGAUGAAAAACAACAAAUUAUUUUUCCAUCUACAAGUCAAGCAAUUAUUUAUGAUGCUUAUAGAAAAUUUCAAUACCGUGGAUUAACAAAUUACAAUUUGGAAUGGCGAGGAUCUUAUUAUUCUAACAGAACGAGAUAAUUAUGGAACAGUUUGCGUUGACGUUUACGGUUCAUUCUAUAGUUCUUUAAACUAAUCUGUGAAACUUAUAUGUUAGUUAUGAUUGAUAUUGACGGUUGAUAUUAAA
Long non-coding RNA from Hydra vulgaris (swiftwater hydra), 1246 nucleotides. RefSeq lists it as uncharacterized. The record is from RefSeq and is a predicted model, not a curated record. NCBI's taxonomy places the organism in Eukaryota, Metazoa, Cnidaria, Hydrozoa, Anthoathecata, Hydridae.